This 250-nucleotide ribosomal RNA is filed under the name uncultured bacterium. Its description in RNAcentral is "partial 16S ribosomal RNA". It matches the Rfam family "Bacterial small subunit ribosomal RNA", at positions 524 to 773 of the family's 1533-position model. The record is from RNAcentral.
UACGGAGAGGGCAAGCGUUGUUCGGAAUCACUGGGCAUAAAGGGCACGUAGGCGGGAUAGUAAGUCGGUUGUGAAAGCCCGGGGCUCAACCCCGGAACGGCUUCCGAAACUACUAACCUUGAGGAUGAGAGGGGAGAGUGGAACUUCUGGUGGAGCGGUGAAAUGCGUAGAUAUCAGAAGGAACACCGGUGGCGAAAGCGACUCUCUGGCUCAUUUCUGACGCUGAGGUGCGAAAGCUAGGGUAGCGAAC